UUUAAUGAGUUAAUAAAUUAAUUGACGAAUUGUCUGUAUUUGGAUUCUAUAUCGGAGUUGUUCUGAGACCUACAGCAAAACGGUCCUUCCUGUAGAUUAUAAAGAGCUCCUUGGUGUGUAGAAAGCUACGUAGUGAGGGAAGUGUUCCUCACACGAAGCAGGAGGAGGAGGAAGGAACUGCGGGAUACAGUUAAUGACAUCGAGAUAAGAUUGCAACAGUCUGACUUGUCUUUUUUCCUCCCGGCAGCCCCUCCUUCCACCCCAAGCAGGGAUGGUAGAUAUUAUUCCUGUGGGGGAUCUCGCCUCUUCCAUUCUAUCUCUCAGUUCCUCCUCCCUCUCAAACUGUCCUUCUCACACUCACACUCACUCUCCGUGUUUCUCUUUCUGUUCCUAAAGGUUGCUCUACUUAUCUGUCUGCCUGACCAUCUUUCCAUCUGGACGCGGUCUGAUAAAGCAACUGUGUGAUUGAGACCCUCUGAUCAUGUCCUCAAAUGUCCUUCUCUGCCAUCACCGUCAUCCAUCUCUCUCUGUGCCGAGUGAACUCUAUGAGAGGAGAGUAAGGCCGAGGGGAGAAGGAAGAGGGAAACCUGGUGACCAAAUGUUACUGCUGCGGUGCCUGCCUGCCGGUGCCGCAAUCGUUAAGGAAUCGAUUCCAAGGUGCCAAACUGAUGUCUUCCAAUCGGAUCACUGGAAACAGAGUAGCCUCUCCCAGUAAAGCUCCAGAGCCUUACAACAUGCAGACAGGAGGAAGGAGGUACCCCCUGUUGCUCCAGCUGACGGAAGAGAAAGAACGAGAAAACAAAUGAGAAAAACAAGGCUUCUGAGAGAACUGCCUUCUCUCAGGCUCGCUCUUUAACUCUUUCUGUCUACCUCUCUGUCUCAACUUGACUAAACAGUACAAUUCUGAGAUUGAUAUUGGGUUGGUUUAAAUGUUAUGAAUUCCAGCUUAUAGAGAGGUGUUAUGCAGCAUAAUGUUUAUCCAUAUCAACUAGAUUCCUUGUUCCCCCACCCUAUUCAAUAAGUAGGUCAUGUAUUGUGCAAUAAAAUAUAGACAACCA
Molecule: long non-coding RNA, 1058 nt
Organism: Salvelinus fontinalis (brook trout)
Lineage: Eukaryota; Metazoa; Chordata; Actinopteri; Salmoniformes; Salmonidae
Exons: 3
Source: RefSeq, a predicted model, not a curated record